AUAUUCUGUGAGCAGGAAANCAGGGGAUCGCAAGACCUUGCGCUGAUUGAGCGGCCGAUAUCAGAUUAGCUAGUUGGUGAGGUAAAGGCUCACCAAGGCGACGAUCUGUAGCGGGUCUGAGAGGAUGAUCCGCCACACUGGAACUGAGACACGGUCCAGACUCCUACGGGAGGCAGCAGUGGGGAAUUUUGGACAAUGGGCGCAAGCCUGAUCCAGCCAUGCCGCGUGAGUGAAGAAGGCCGUUCGGGUUGUAAAGCUCUUUCGGCCGGGAAGAAAUCGCACAGGUUAAUACCCUGUGUGGAUGACGGUACCGGAAUAAGAAGCACCGGCUAACUACGUG
This 340-nucleotide ribosomal RNA is filed under the name uncultured bacterium. Its description in RNAcentral is "bacterial SSU rRNA". It matches the Rfam family "Bacterial small subunit ribosomal RNA", at positions 173 to 507 of the family's 1533-position model. The record is from RNAcentral.